CCUACGGGAGGCAGCAGUGAGGAAUAUUGGUCAAUGGACGAGAGUCUGAACCAGCCAAGUAGCGUGAAGGAUGACUGCCCUAUGGGUUGUAAACUUCUUUUAUAUGGGAAUAAAAUGUUCCACGUGUGGGAUUUUGUAUGUACCAUAUGAAUAAGGAUCGGCUAACUCCGUGCCAGCAGCCGCGGUAAUACGGAGGAUCCGAGCGUUAUCCGGAUUUAUUGGGUGUAAAGGGAGCGUAGGUGGAUUGGUAAGUCAGUUGUGAAAGUUUGCGGCUCAACCGUAAAAUUGCAGUUGAAACUAGCAGUCUUGAGUACAGUAGAGGUGGGCGGAAUUCGUAGUGUAGCGGUGAAAUGCUUAGAUAUCACGAAGAACUCCGAUGGCGAAGGCAGUUCACUGGACUGCAACUGACACUGAGGCUCGAAAGUGUGGGUAUCAAACAGGAUUAGAUACCCGUGUAGUC
RNAcentral lists this ribosomal RNA (460 nucleotides) under uncultured bacterium. RNAcentral's name for it is "partial 16S ribosomal RNA". It matches the Rfam family "Bacterial small subunit ribosomal RNA", at positions 338 to 795 of the family's 1533-position model. The record is from RNAcentral.